GAGUUUGAUCGUGGCUCAGAUUGAACGCUGGCGGCAUGCCUAACACAUGCAAGUCGAACGGUAACGCGGGGGCAACCCUGGCGACGAGUGGCGGACGGGUGAGUAAUACGUAGGAAUCUGCCCAUUAGUGGGGGACAACCCGGCGAAAGCCGGGCUAAUACCGCAUACGCUCUACGGAGGAAAACGGGGGAUCGUAAGAACCUCGUGCUAAUGGAUGAGCCUACGUCGGAUUAGCUAGUUGGUAGGGUAACGGCCUACCAAGGCGACGAUCCGUAGCUGGUCUGAGAGGACGAUCAGCCACACUGGGACUGAGACACGGCCCAGACUCCUACGGGAGGCAGCAGUGGGGAAUAUUGGACAAUGGGGGCAAACCCUGAUCCAGCAAGUGCCGCGUGUGUGAAGAAGGCCUGCGGGUUGU
RNAcentral lists this ribosomal RNA (418 nucleotides) under uncultured Gammaproteobacteria bacterium. RNAcentral describes it as "bacterial SSU rRNA". It matches the Rfam family "Bacterial small subunit ribosomal RNA", at positions 9 to 426 of the family's 1533-position model. Lineage: Bacteria; Pseudomonadati; Pseudomonadota; Gammaproteobacteria. The record is from RNAcentral.